RNAcentral lists this ribosomal RNA (1304 nucleotides) under Tilapia parasite TPT-541. Its description in RNAcentral is "partial 16S ribosomal RNA". It matches the Rfam family "Bacterial small subunit ribosomal RNA", at positions 41 to 1345 of the family's 1533-position model. The record is from RNAcentral. Lineage: Bacteria; Pseudomonadati; Pseudomonadota; Gammaproteobacteria; Thiotrichales; Francisellaceae.
GGCAUGCUUAACACAUGCAAGUCGAACGGUAACAGGUCUUCGGAUGCUGACGAGUGGCGGACGGGUGAGUAACGCGUAGGAAUCUGCCCAUCUGUGGGGGAUACCAGUUGGAAACGACUGUUAAUACCGCAUAAUAUCUGCGGAUUAAAGGUGGCCUUUGCGCUGCCGCAGAUGGAUGAGCCUGCGUUGGAUUAGCUAGUUGGUGGGGUAAGGGCCUACCAAGGCUACGAUCCAUAGCUGAUUUGAGAGGAUGAUCAGCCACAUUGGGACUGAGACACGGCCCAAACUCCUACGGGAGGCAGCAGUGGGGAAUAUUGGACAAUGGGGGAAACCCUGAUCCAGCAAUGCCAUGUGUGUGAAGAAGGCUCUAGGGUUGUAAAGCACUUUAGUUGGGGAGGAAAGCCUGUGAGUUAAUAGCUUGCAGGAAGGACGUUGCCCAAAGAAUAAGGACCGGCUAACUCCGUGCCAGCAGCCGCGGUAAUACGGGGGGUCCGAGCGUUAAUCGGAAUUACUGGGCGUAAAGGGUCUGUAGGUGGUUUGUUAAGUCAGAUGUGAAAGCCCAGGGCUCAACCUUGGAACUGCAUUUGAUACUGACAAACUAGAGUAUGGUAGAGGAAUAGGGAACUUCUGGUGUAGCGGUGAAAUGCGUAGAGAUCAGAAGGAACACCAAUGGCGAAGGCAACAUUCUGGACCAAUACUGACACUGAGGGACGAAAGCGUGGGGAUCAAACAGGAUUAGAUACCCUGGUAGUCCACGCUGUAAACGAUGAGUACUAGCUGUUGGAUUCGGUGUAAAGGAUCUAGUGGCGCAGCUAACGCGUUAAGUACUCCGCCUGGGGACUACGGCCGCAAGGCUAAAACUCAAAGGAAUUGACGGGGACCCGCACAAGCGGUGGAGCAUGUGGUUUAAUUCGAUGCAACGCGAAGAACCUUACCUGGUCUUGACAUCCUGCGAACUUUCUAGAGAUAGAUUGGUGCCUUCGGGAACGCAGUGACAGGUGCUGCACGGCUGUCGUCAGCUCGUGUUGUGAAAUGUUGGGUUAAGUCCCGCAACGAGCGCAACCCCUAUUGAUAGUUACCAUCAUUAAGUUGGGUACUCUAUUGAGACUGCCGCUGACAAGGCGGAGGAAGGUGGGGACGACGUCAAGUCAUCAUGGCCCUUACGACCAGGGCUACACACGUGCUACAAUGGGUAUUACAGAGGGCUGCGAAGGUGCGAGCUGGAGCGAAACUCAGAAAGGUACUCUUAGUCCGGAUUGCAGUCUGCAACUCGACUGCAUGAAGUCGGAAUCGCUAGUAAUCGC